RNAcentral lists this ribosomal RNA (253 nucleotides) under uncultured bacterium. Its description in RNAcentral is "partial 16S ribosomal RNA". It matches the Rfam family "Bacterial small subunit ribosomal RNA", at positions 524 to 776 of the family's 1533-position model. The record is from RNAcentral.
GACGGAGGAUGCAAGUGUUAUCCGGAAUCACUGGGCGUAAAGCGUCUGUAGGUGGUUUAAUAAGUCAACUGUUAAAUCUUGAGGCUCAACCUCAAAAUCGCAGUCGAAACUAUUAGGCUAGAGUAUAGUAGGGGUAAAGGGAAUUUCCAGUGGAGCGGUGAAAUGCGUAGAGAUUGAAAAGAACACCGAUGGCGAAGGCACUUUACUGGGCUAUUACUAACACUCAGAGACGAAAGCUAGGGUAGCAAAUGGG